AUGAAUUUGUUGGCUAUGGAUAUUAUGGGCAAAACUAUGAGCAACAAUACAAGUGAAGAUCGUGACGGAGUCCUGAAUUUUAAGCAGAUAAUAGAGAGGGUUUCUACCAUAACCUCUGGUAUGGAGUUGGCCAUUAACACAGGACAAUUUGGUAUGAGUAGAAAAGGUGUAUCACAGACGCUUUCUAGGCUAUCCUAUAUGGCAUCUUUAGGCUACAUGACACGCAUAUCACAAGAAUUAGAGAAGACCCGGAAAACAAAUGGGCCCCGUGCAAUGCACCCUAGUCAGUGGGGUAUGCUUUGCCCAUGCGAUACUCCCGAAGGAGAACUUUGUGGAUUGACAAAAAACUUAGCUUUGUUAACUCACAUUACAACAGAUCAAGAGGAUGAUGGCCCACUGACGAAGCUGUGUUAUACUUUGGGUGUGGAAGAUUUAUCAAUUUUAUCCACAGAAGAAGUUCACGCAUCAGACUCAUUUCUGAUCAUGUUCAAUGGAUCAAUACUGGGGAAACAUAGGCAACCUCAGAGAUUUGCUGAUAAUAUGAGAAAACUGCGUCGCUUAAGCUCAUCUUGGGACUUUGUAAGCAUUUUUGUAAAUCAGAAGCAGCGUUGCAUUCACAUUGCCUCUGAUGGCGGUCGCGUUUGUCGUCCACUUUUAAUCGCUGAUUUGGGAAUAUCAAGGGUCCAAGACCAUCAUAUGCAGGAACUGAGGGCUGGUCACCUCUCAUUUGACGAUUUUCUGCGUUUUGGGUUGAUUGAAUAUCUUGAUGUCAAUGAAGAGAACAAUGCAUUGAUUGCAUUGUAUGAGCAUGAGGAUCAAGAUGAUGUUCAGAGAAGCAGAAUCACACACAUUGAAAUAGAGCCCUUGACUAUAUUAGGGGUUGUGGCUGGGAUUAUUCCUUAUCCACACCAUAACCAAUCUACACGUAACACUUACCAGUGCGCAAUGGGUAAGCAAGCAAUGGGAAAUAUUGCGUAUAAUCAGUUGUCCCGGGCAGAUUCUCUACAAUAUUUAUUAGUGUACGCGCAACGUCCCCUGGUUACAACAAAAACAAUCGAGUUGGUGGGAUAUGAUAAGCUUGGGGCUGGGCAGAAUGCAACUGUUGCUGUCAUGAGUGAUAGUGGAUAUGAUAUUGAAGAUGCAAUUGUAUUCAAUAAAUCAUCCCUUGAUCGAGGUUUUGGUCAUUGCAUAAGAAUGAAAAGGUACACGGUGGCAAUGCAGAAGUAUGGGAAUAAUAGGUCAGAAAAGAAUGUUAAACCAGAGAGAGAUAAAGAUGAUAUUUUGAAGAAGCAGAAUAUGCAGGUUUUGGAUAAAGAUGGGUAUGCCGAGCCAGGUCUAAUAAUCCGCGAUGGUGAUAUCUAUGUGAACAAGAAAACUCCCAAGAAUACUGCAAAAAGUCCUGGUGUUACAUCAACCGACAGGGACUAUGAAGACUCCCCAGCUAUUUACAAAGGUGAUGAUGAUGAGACAACUGUAGUUGAUCGUGUAAUACUUUCCUCAGAUAGUAAUGACAACUUGACCAUCAAGUGUAUUAUCCGUCACACUAGGAGGCCAGAGGUCGGUGACAAAUUUAGUAGCAGACAUGGACAGAAAGGUGUUUGUGGUACCAUUCUUCAGCAGGAAGACUUCUCCUUCUCUGAGAGAGGAAUAUGCCCUGAUUUAGUUAUGAAUCCCCAUGGAUUUCCAAGUGGUAUGACGGUAGGACAAAUGCUUGAACUUCUUGGCGGAAAGGCUGGUGCAUCAUGUGAGCAAUUUUAUUAUGGCAGUGCAUUUGGUGAACCAAGUGGUAAUGCUAAUAAAGUUGAAGACAUGAGCUAUACUCUUGUCAAGCAUGGCUUCAACUAUCAUGGAAAAGAUUUAUUGUACUCAGGCACUUUAGGCCACCCUCUUCAGGCAUAUAUCUUCAUGGGGCCAAUCUACUACCAGAAAUUGAAGCACAUGGUUCUUGAUAAGAUGCAUGCUCGAGCUUCUGGACCACGAGUUGCAUUGACCAGGCAACCUACUGGAGGGCGAAACAGCAAUAGAGGCCUGCGUCUUGGUGAGAUGGAGCGUGAUUGUUUAAUUGCGCAUGGUGCCAGUAUGGUGAUACUUGAACGUCUAUUACUGUCGAGUGAUCCAUAUCAAGCGCAGGUUUGCAGAAAAUGUGGUUUGUUAGGCUACUACAACCACAGACUCAAGACCUCCUUCUGUUCAUUUUGCAAAAGUGGAGAAAAUAUGCAGCAACUGAUGAUGCCCUAUGUUUGCAAGCUAUUGUUUCAGGAACUGACAGCGAUGAACGUCGUUCCAAGGUUAAAGCUAACCGAAGGAUAA
RNAcentral lists this ribosomal RNA (2310 nucleotides) under Triticum aestivum (bread wheat). RNAcentral's name for it is "partial small subunit ribosomal RNA". The record is from RNAcentral. Lineage: Eukaryota; Viridiplantae; Streptophyta; Magnoliopsida; Poales; Poaceae.